This 274-nucleotide long non-coding RNA is filed under the name Elaeis guineensis (African oil palm). Its description in RNAcentral is "long non-coding RNA (EGUI_LNC018529)". The record is from RNAcentral. Lineage: Eukaryota; Viridiplantae; Streptophyta; Magnoliopsida; Arecales; Arecaceae.
AAUCUCUUUGAUAGUUAUUAUGGGGCGCCACUUUGAUUUGAUCAAUUUGGGCAUGUCUAUUGAUUAGAGGACCUUUUAUUUUUAUAUGGGGCAUCUCUUGGGUGUGUUUUGGGAUGUCUAAUUUUAGGUGCAAGGACUCCAAUUGUUGGCACCUAAUGGACUUCCUAAUGUAAGUUGGAUAACUUAAGUUAAUAGAAAUCCUAAUGCAAGUAAGACUUGUAUUAUAAGAUUGAAUAAGAUUCAAUCCUUAUGCCUAUUUAAAAGAACCUCCCCU